GAUGAACGCUGGCGGCGUGCCUAAUACAUGCAAGUCGAGCGAACAGACGAGGAGCUUGCUCCUCUGACGUUAGCGGCGGACGGGUGAGUAACACGUGGAUAACCUACCUAUCAGACUGGGAUAACUUCGGGAAACCGGCGCUAAUACCGGAUAAUAUAUUGAACCGCAUGGUUCAAUAGUGAAAGACGGUUUUGCUGUCACUUAUAGAUGGAUCCGCGCCGCAUUAGCUAGUUGGUAAGGUAACGGCUUACCAAGGCGACGAUGCGUAGCCGACCUGAGAGGGUGAUCGGCCACACUGGAACUGAGACACGGUCCAGACUCCUACGGGAGGCAGCAGUAGGGAAUCUUACGCAAUGGGCGAAAGCCUGACGGAGCAACGCCGAGUGAGUGAUGAAGGUCUUCGGAGCGUAAAACUCUGUUAUUAGGGAAGAACAAAUGUGUAAGUAACUAUGCACGUCUUGACGGUACCUAAUCAGAAAGCCACGGCUAACUACGUG
This 497-nucleotide ribosomal RNA is filed under the name uncultured bacterium. Its description in RNAcentral is "partial 16S ribosomal RNA". It matches the Rfam family "Bacterial small subunit ribosomal RNA", at positions 28 to 507 of the family's 1533-position model. The record is from RNAcentral.